Molecule: long non-coding RNA, 270 nt
Filed under: Lathyrus oleraceus (garden pea)
Lineage: Eukaryota; Viridiplantae; Streptophyta; Magnoliopsida; Fabales; Fabaceae
Description: Pisum sativum (pea) long non-coding RNA (PSAT_LNC022568)
Source: RNAcentral
UAGAAACAAUACAAUGAGAUAACAAAAAGAAGAUAUAAAGAAACAAAAAUAAAAAGCUAACACUCAACCCAAAUCAAACUAAGAUAGGUUUGACUCUUUCUAGCUUUGAUUUAUUAAGUUCCCAGCUGAGUCGCCAGCUGCCGCAUCUCAAAAAAACGUGAUCCUUCGCAAAGUGUUCGUAUGCUCAGAAAAAAAGUUCGAACAUAGUCGCCACCAAAAUUUAUUUAUUCCAAAAGAGGAAAAAGGAAAAUAUCGAUAAAACCUUUAAAA